Molecule: ribosomal RNA, 333 nt
Filed under: uncultured bacterium
Lineage: Bacteria
Description: bacterial SSU rRNA
Rfam family: Bacterial small subunit ribosomal RNA
Source: RNAcentral
GAUAAACGCUGGCGGCGCACAUAAGACAUGCAAGUCGAACGGAGAUAUGAAGCGAGCGGGAAGUGCUUGCACAGAACAAUCAUUUCAUAACUUAGUGGCGGACGGGUGAGUAACGCGUGGGUAACCUGCCUUAUACCGGGGGAUAACACUUAGAAAUAGGUGCUAAUACCGCAUAAGCGCACAGUAUCGCAUGAUACAGUGUGAAAAACUCCGGUGGUAUAAGAUGGACCCGCGUCUGAUUAGCUUGUUGGCGGGGUAACGGCCCACCAAGGCGACGAUCAGUAGCCGGCCUGAGAGGGUGAACGGCCACAUUGGGACUGAGACACGGCCCAA